RNAcentral lists this ribosomal RNA (905 nucleotides) under Bursaphelenchus sp. Its description in RNAcentral is "SSU rRNA". It matches the Rfam family "Eukaryotic small subunit ribosomal RNA", at positions 89 to 1018 of the family's 1831-position model. Lineage: Eukaryota; Metazoa; Nematoda; Chromadorea; Rhabditida; Aphelenchoididae. The record is from RNAcentral.
GCGAAUGGCUCAUUACAACAGCUAUAACUUACUGGAUCUUUUUCUUAUAUGGAUAACUGCGGUAAUUCUGGAGCCAAUACAUGAAUCAAGCUCUGGGCUUCGGUCCAGAGUGCAAUUAUUGGAGCAAAACCGGUCUCGUACUGUUUGCUAACUCAGGAUAAUUUUGCAUAUCGCAUGGUCUUGUACCGGCGAAGUUUCCUUCAGGUAUCUGCUUUAUCAACUAUCGUUGGUAGUUUAUUGGUCUACCAUGGUGUUGACGGGUAACGGAGAAUCGGGGUUUGACUCCGGAGAGGGAGCCUUAGAAACGGCUACCAUGUCUAAGGAUAGCAGCAGGCGCGAAAAUUACCCAAUAUCAAAACGAUGAGGUAGUGACGAGAAAUAACAAGAUCGUUCUCUAUGAGAUCGAUUAUUGGAAUGAGUACAAUCCAGAAAUUUUAACGAGUAUCUACGAGAGGGCAAGUCUGGUGCCAGCAGCCGCGGUAAUUCCAGCUCUCGUAAUGUAUAGAAUUAUUGUUGCGAUUAAAAAGUUCGUAGUUGGAUGGUGAAGCAGGUGUCGGGUGCGUUCUUUGAGCGUCUACUCAACACCUGCAUUUUGCAUGUUUUCGCGUGGUUGUUUCGGCGGCCACGUGAUGCAUGCAGGAUUACUUUGAACGGCUCAAGUGCUUAAAGCAAGUCUUAUGACUGAAUACCGGUGCAUGGAAUAAUGGAACAAGGUUGUGGCUGAGUUUUAUUGGUUUUGUCGGCUAAAACAAUGGUUAAAAGGAACAGCCGGGGGCAUUCGUAUCGCUGCGCGAGAGGUGAAAUUCGUGGACCGUAGCGAGACGACCGACAGCGAAGGCAUUUGCCAAGAGUGUUUUCAUUAAUCAAGAACGAAAGUCAGAGGUUCGAAGGCGAUCAGAUACCGC